GCGGGAAUGGCGGAAUUGGCAGACGCGCUAGAUUCAGGUUCUAGUGAGGGCUAACUUCAUGCAGGUUCAAGUCCUGUUUCCCGCACCA
Molecule: transfer RNA, 88 nt
Filed under: Faecalibacterium sp. CAG:74
Lineage: Bacteria; Bacillati; Bacillota; Clostridia; Eubacteriales; Oscillospiraceae
Also listed under: 9 other names
Description: transfer RNA-Leu(CAG)
Rfam family: tRNA
About the family: Transfer RNA (tRNA) molecules are approximately 80 nucleotides in length. Their secondary structure includes four short double-helical elements and three loops (D, anti-codon, and T loops).
Source: RNAcentral